AUUGAACGCUGGCGGCAGGCUUAACACAUGCAAGUCGAGCGGGGUGAUGGUGCUUGCACUAUCACUUAGCGGCGGACGGGUGAGUAAUGCUUAGGAAUCCGCCUAUUAGUGGGGGACAACAUCUCGAAAGGGAUGCUAAUACCGCAUACGUCCUACGGGAGAAAGCAGGGGAUCACUUGUGACCUUGCGCUAAUAGAUGAGCCUAAGUCGGAUUAGCUAGUUGGUGGGGUAAAGGCCUACCAAGGCGACGAUCUGUAGCGGGUCUGAGAGGAUGAUCCGCCACACUGGGACUGAGACACGGCCCAGACUCCUACGGGAGGCAGCAGUGGGGAAUAUUGGACUAUGGGGGGAACCCUGAUCCAGCCAUGCCGCGUGUGUGAAGAAGGCCUUAUGGUUGUAAAGCACUUUAAGCGAGGAGGAGGCUCUUUUGGUUAAUACCCAAGAUGAGUGGACGUUACUCGCAGAAUAAGCACCGGCUAACUCUGUGCCAGCCGCCGCGGUAA
RNAcentral lists this ribosomal RNA (503 nucleotides) under uncultured bacterium. Its description in RNAcentral is "partial 16S ribosomal RNA". It matches the Rfam family "Bacterial small subunit ribosomal RNA", at positions 30 to 523 of the family's 1533-position model. The record is from RNAcentral.